RNAcentral lists this non-coding RNA (24 nucleotides) under Arabidopsis thaliana (thale cress). The record is from RNAcentral. Lineage: Eukaryota; Viridiplantae; Streptophyta; Magnoliopsida; Brassicales; Brassicaceae.
UAAAACACUUCUUGAUGCGGCGAA